UGAUGGAGUGAAAGGCCUAUAACUUACUGGUAAGUUAUAGGCUUUAUAGGCUUUUUAUAGGUAAGUUAUAGGCUUUUCACUCCUUCACUUAUAAGACG
RNAcentral lists this microRNA precursor (98 nucleotides) under Prunus dulcis (almond). Its description in RNAcentral is "sRNA ncRNA". The record is from RNAcentral. Lineage: Eukaryota; Viridiplantae; Streptophyta; Magnoliopsida; Rosales; Rosaceae.